UACGGGGGGGGCAAGCGUUGUUCGGAAUUACUGGGCGUAAAGGGCUUGUAGGUGGCCAACUAAGUCAGACGUGAAAUCCCUCGGCUUAACCGGGGAACUGCGUCUGAUACUGGAUGGCUGGAGUGUGGGAGAGGGAUGCGGAAUUCCAGGUGUAGCGGUGAAAUGCGUAGAUAUCUGGAGGAACACCGGUGGCGAAGGCGGCAUCCUGGACCGACAUUGACGCUGAGGAGCGAAAGCUAGGGGAGCAAACGGG
RNAcentral lists this ribosomal RNA (253 nucleotides) under uncultured bacterium. RNAcentral describes it as "partial 16S ribosomal RNA". It matches the Rfam family "Bacterial small subunit ribosomal RNA", at positions 524 to 776 of the family's 1533-position model. The record is from RNAcentral.